Small nuclear RNA from Carlito syrichta (Philippine tarsier), 106 nucleotides. The record is from Ensembl. Lineage: Eukaryota; Metazoa; Chordata; Mammalia; Primates; Tarsiidae.
AGGCUCAUUUCAGCAGUAUAUAUACUAAAAUUGCAACAAUACAGGGAAGAUGAGCAUGGCCCCUGCACAAGGACGACAUGCCAAUCAUGAAGCAUCCCAUAGUAAA